RNAcentral lists this ribosomal RNA (492 nucleotides) under uncultured bacterium. RNAcentral's name for it is "partial 16S ribosomal RNA". It matches the Rfam family "Bacterial small subunit ribosomal RNA", at positions 29 to 523 of the family's 1533-position model. The record is from RNAcentral.
AUUGAACGCUGGCGGCAUGCUUUACACAUGCAAGUCGAACGGUAACAGGUUAAGCUGACGAGUGGCGAACGGGUGAGUAAUGCAUCGGAACGUGCCCGGUCGUGGGGGAUAACGCAGCGAAAGCUGCGCUAAUACCGCAUACGAUCUGAGGAUGAAAGCGGGGGACCGUAAGGCCCGCGCGAUCGGAGCGGCCGAUGUCAGAUUAGGUAGUUGGUGGGGUAAAGGCUCACCAAGCCAACGAUCUGUAGCUGGUCUGAGAGGACGACCAGCCACACUGGGACUGAGACAUGGCCCAGUCUCCUACGGGGGGCAGCAGUGGGGAAUGUUGGACAAUGGGCGAAAGCCUGAUCCAGCAAUGCCGCGUGCAGGAAGAAGGCCUUCGGGUUGUAAACUGCUUUUGUACGGAGCGAAAAGGUCUCCUCUAAUACAGGGGGCUCAUGACGGUACCGUAAGAAUAAGCACCGGCUAACUACGUGCCAGCCGCCGCAGUAA